GACGAACGCUGGCGGCGUGCUUAACACAUGCAAGUCGAGCGGUAAGGCCCUUUUGGGGGUACACGAGCGGCGAACGGGUGAGUAACACGUGGGUGACCUGCCCUCAGCUCUGGGAUAAGCCUGGGAAACUGGGUCUAAUACUGGAUAUGACCUUUCCUCGCAUGGGGUUGGGUGGAAAGUUUUUCGGCUGGGGAUGGGCCCGCGGCCUAUCAGCUUGUUGGUGGGGUGAUGGCCUACCAAGGCGACGACGGGUAGCCGGCCUGAGAGGGCGACCGGCCACACUGGGACUGAGACACGGCCCAGACUCCUACGGGAGGCAGCAGUGGGGAAUAUUGCGCAAUGGGCGGAAGCCUGACGCAGCGACGCCGCGUGGGG
RNAcentral lists this ribosomal RNA (375 nucleotides) under uncultured bacterium. RNAcentral describes it as "bacterial SSU rRNA". It matches the Rfam family "Bacterial small subunit ribosomal RNA", at positions 28 to 406 of the family's 1533-position model. The record is from RNAcentral.